AGUGAACGCUGGCGGUAGGCCUAACACAUGCAAGUCGAACGGCAGCACAGUAAGCGCUUGCUCUUACGGGUGGCGAGUGGCGGGCGGGUGAGGAGUACAUCGGAAUCUACUUUUUCGUGGGGGAUAACGUAGGGAAACUUACGCUAAUACCGCAUACGACCUACGGGUGAAAGCAUGGGAUCUUCGGACCUUGCGCGAUUGAAUGAGCCGAUGUCGGAUUAGCUAGUUGGCGGGGUAAAGGCCCACCAAGGCGACGAUCCGUAGCUGGUCUGAGAGGAUGAUCAGCCACACUGGAACUGAGACACGGUCCAGACUCCUACGGGAGGCAGCAGUGGGGAAUAUUGGACAAUGGGCGAAAGCCUGAUCCAGCAAUACCGCGUGUGUGAAGAAGGCCUUCGGGUUGUAAAGCCCUUUUGUUGGGAAAGAAAAGCAGUAGGUUAAUACCCCGCUGUGCUGACGGUACCCAAAGAAUAAGCACCGGCUAACUUCGUG
This 492-nucleotide ribosomal RNA is filed under the name uncultured bacterium. RNAcentral describes it as "partial 16S ribosomal RNA". It matches the Rfam family "Bacterial small subunit ribosomal RNA", at positions 29 to 507 of the family's 1533-position model. The record is from RNAcentral.